UUGAACGCUGGCGGCAGGCCUAACACAUGCAAGUCGAGCGGUAGCGCGGGGCAACCUGGCGGCGAGCGGCGGACGGGUGAGUAACGCGUAGGAAUCUACCCAGUAGCGGGGGAAAGCCCGCGGAAACUCGGAUUAAUACCGCAUAUGCCAUAAGGGGGAAAGCAGGGGAUCGUAAAACCUUGCAAUACUGGAAGAGCCUGCGUAGGAGUAGCUAGUUGGUAGGGUAAAGGCCUACCAAGGGGACGAUCCAAAACUGGUCUGAGAGGAUGAUCAGUCACACCGGAACUGAGACACGGUCCGGACUCCUACGGGAGGCAGCAGUGGGGAAUAUUGGACAAUGGGGGCAACCCUGAUCCGGCCAUGCCGCGUGUGUGAAGAAGGCCUUCGGGUUGUAAAGCACUUUAAGUGGGGAGAAAGGUUCGGCAGCUAAUACCUGCCGGAAGUGAUGUUACCCACAGAAUAAGCACCGGCUAACUCUGUGCCAGCAGCCGCGGUAA
This 497-nucleotide ribosomal RNA is filed under the name uncultured bacterium. Its description in RNAcentral is "partial 16S ribosomal RNA". It matches the Rfam family "Bacterial small subunit ribosomal RNA", at positions 29 to 523 of the family's 1533-position model. The record is from RNAcentral.